This 488-nucleotide ribosomal RNA is filed under the name uncultured bacterium. RNAcentral's name for it is "bacterial SSU rRNA". It matches the Rfam family "Bacterial small subunit ribosomal RNA", at positions 29 to 524 of the family's 1533-position model. The record is from RNAcentral.
AACGAACGCUGGCGGUAUGCUUUACACAUGCAAGUCGAACGAACUGUUGGUAGCUUGCUAUCAACAGUUAGUGGCAAACGGGUGAGUAACGCGUGGGAAUCUGCCCUAUAGUACGGAAUAGCCGUUGGAAACGACGAUUAAUACCGUAUAUCUUCCCAGGAAGAAAGACUUGUCGCUAUAGGAUGAGCCCACGUUAGAUUAGUUUGUUGGUAGGGUAAUGGCCUACCAAGACUACGAUCUAUAGCUGGUUUGAGAGGAUGAUCAGCCACACUGGAACUGAGAUACGGUCCAGACUUCUACGGAAGGCAGCAGUGAGGAAUAUUGCACAAUGGGCGCAAGCCUGAUGCAGCCAUGCCGCGUGUAUGAAGAAGGCCUUCGGGUUGUAAAGUACUUUCAGCGGGGAGGAAGGGAGUAAAGUUAAUACCUUUGCUCAUUGACGUUACCGCAGAAGAAGCACCGGCUAACUCCGUGCCAGCCGCCGCGGUAAU